UAUUCUUCAUUAUCAGGUCAAACAUGUUCC
Molecule: non-coding RNA, 30 nt
Filed under: Mus musculus (house mouse)
Lineage: Eukaryota; Metazoa; Chordata; Mammalia; Rodentia; Muridae
Source: RNAcentral